CCUCACAGGUGAAUACCAGAUGUCUGAAUCAGAUACUCACAAUAAUCUCCUGGAAAAUACAUAGUUUUGUGAUGAAGAACACCCUCAUUGUUUUAAUGAAAUACUCCCAGGAAUUCAAUACCUGAGAGACUCUUGUGUCUAUCAUCUCACUUGGUAGUAUGGGGCAUGCCACAGUAACUUUUAAUCAUAUAUGUUCUCACAUGUACUGAAGCUCCUUUACCUUACUUCAGUUCUACAAACCCGGUGAUGUUGUCCUGGCUUAUCCCAGCUUCUAUUCUGGAACUUAACAAGGAUGAAUGAAUGUGUGGGGAAAGACCAGAAUAAGGAGAUUGGUCUCAUCACAGAACUUCACCAUGAACUUGGCUUGGAACCAUGCACAGUUGCUUUCUUUCCUCCUUUCCAAAUGUUUGAGUGAUUGGAGUUGUCCUGCUGGAUGGGUAAGUAUAUUCUUGCCCCAACUCUCAGUUUUUCCCUUUGACUUGAUUCAAGCAGGGUACGUAUGUAAGGAGAGAUUGCUUCAGAGCUGAAGUUUGUUGGUCAAAAAGUUAAACAGAACCAGAGGAUGUGGAACUAGGAUGUGCCCCCAAAGGAAGGACAUAUUCUCCCUUACCGAAUUGAAUCCCAUAUGCACAGGGUGUCAUGUUCAGUUUUUACCUUAUCAAAUGGAAAUUCUUGUUCCCUGUCUGCCUGCUGUCUGGUUUGUAUGUAUUACUUUCCCCUCGAAAAAAGAAAAAAAAAACUUCAG
Molecule: long non-coding RNA, 745 nt
Organism: Fukomys damarensis (Damara mole-rat)
Lineage: Eukaryota; Metazoa; Chordata; Mammalia; Rodentia; Bathyergidae
Exons: 3
Source: RefSeq, a predicted model, not a curated record